This 254-nucleotide ribosomal RNA is filed under the name uncultured bacterium. Its description in RNAcentral is "partial 16S ribosomal RNA". It matches the Rfam family "Bacterial small subunit ribosomal RNA", at positions 524 to 776 of the family's 1533-position model. The record is from RNAcentral.
UACGGGGGGGGGCAAGCGUUGUUCGGAAUUACUGGGCGUAAAGGGCUCGUAGGCGGCCAACUAAGUCGGAUGUGAAAUCCCCAAGCUUAACUUGGGAACUGCAUCCGAUACUGGAUGGCUUGAAUCCGGGAGAGGGAUGCAGAAUUCCAGGUGUAGCGGUGAAAUGCGCAGAUAUCAGGAAGAACACCAAUGGCGAAAGCAGCUCUCUGGGACGGUACUGACGCUGAGACGCGAAAGCGUGGGGAGCGAACAGG